UGGGUAUAGCUCAGUGGUAGAGUGCACGCUUAGCAUGCAUGAGGUCCUGGGUUUAAUUCCCAGUACCUCAA
RNAcentral lists this transfer RNA (71 nucleotides) under Camelus bactrianus (Bactrian camel). It matches the Rfam family "tRNA". From Rfam's summary of the family: Transfer RNA (tRNA) molecules are approximately 80 nucleotides in length. RNAcentral also lists the same sequence under 2 other names. Lineage: Eukaryota; Metazoa; Chordata; Mammalia; Artiodactyla; Camelidae. The record is from Rfam by way of RNAcentral.